Molecule: long non-coding RNA, 547 nt
Organism: Gasterosteus aculeatus aculeatus (three-spined stickleback)
Lineage: Eukaryota; Metazoa; Chordata; Actinopteri; Perciformes; Gasterosteidae
Source: Ensembl
CACGCUUCUCCACUGGGCGUCAUCGCCGUGGCAACCUAGCGACAACCCAUUCCGUCUCCACCAGAGGCUGACAACUUGCGUGCGGACGCCCGAGAUGCUCCAGGGGAAACAUUCCCGUUUCUCUCUCCGAUGCUUCGGAACGUUACGGAGCUCCGGCUGAUUUCACAACCAAAAGAGAACAAUCUAUGAUUUGACUUGUUAAAGCUGCAUCAGUGGAAACCAAGUGCAUUUAAUCAGGCACCAAAGUACAUUAUGAGAGGAGCUUCCGUCCGGCCAGCAGCUGAAUUACUAGUGAUGACGGUGGUGAUGAUGACGGUGAUGAUGAUGAUGGUGAUGAUGAUGGUGAUGGUGAUGAUGGUGAUGAUGAUGCUCAGUGUGAUGUCUCAGCACCACCUAGUGCUGCUUCAAUAAAACCGCAUGUCACCUCAAAAACAUUUAGCGGAAUAAACCUCUACAGAAAAGGUGAGAUGCAAUUAAUAAAUAAAUAAGAAGCCAUUGUGGAAGCUAACAAAGUUAAUGAUUCUUUCUAAUUGAGAGUUGGCAGAAA